GGGUCUGAGAGGACGAUCAGCCACACUGGAACUGAGACACGGUCCAGACUCCUACGGGAGGCAGCAGUGGGGAAUUUUCCGCAAUGGGCGCAAGCCUGACGGAGUAACGCCGCGUGGGUGACGAAGGAUUUCGGUCUGUAAAGCCCUUUCAGUCGGGACGAGUCGCAGACGGUACCGACAGAAGAAGCAUCGGCUAACUACGUGCCAGCAGCCGCGGUAAGACGUAGGAUGCGAGCGUUGUCCGGAAUUAUUGGGCGUAAAGCGUACGUAGGCGGUCAUCUAAGUCUGGGGUUAAAGACCAAGGCUCAACCUUGGGAGUGCCCUGGAUACUGGGUGACUGGAGGACGGCAGAGGAAAGUGGAAUUCCCAGUGUAGCGGUGAAAUGCGUAGAUAUUGGGAGGAACACCAGUGGCGAAAGCGACUUUCUGGGCCGUUCCUGACGCUGAGGUACGAAAGCCAGGGGAGCAAACGGGAUUAGAUACCCCGGUAGUCCUGGCCGUAAACGAUGGAUACUAGGUGUCAUCGGUAUCAACCCCGGUGGUGCCGUAGCUAACGCGUUAAGUAUCCCGCCUGGGGAGUACGGUCGCAAGGCUGAAACUC
RNAcentral lists this ribosomal RNA (600 nucleotides) under bacterium enrichment culture clone F44x_D8_T3_E05. Its description in RNAcentral is "bacterial SSU rRNA". It matches the Rfam family "Bacterial small subunit ribosomal RNA", at positions 288 to 902 of the family's 1533-position model. The record is from RNAcentral.